This 364-nucleotide transfer-messenger RNA is filed under the name Nitrospirae bacterium RIFCSPHIGHO2_02_FULL_40_19. It matches the Rfam family "transfer-messenger RNA". From Rfam's summary of the family: Bacterial tmRNA, also known as 10Sa RNA or SsrA, is named for its dual tRNA and mRNA-like properties. Its role is to liberate the mRNA from a stalled ribosome. The record is from RNAcentral. Lineage: Bacteria; Pseudomonadati; Nitrospirota.
GGGGACGCUAGGUUUCGACGGGAAAGCACAUUAACACGCAGCAAUCCGAGUUUGGUUAAUACUCGUUAAACAGAACUAAAAACUAACUGGUACGGAUGAAUCCGUUCCAUCAGGUUUAGCUUACGCAUACGCGUAAACUAGUCUGCAUCUGUAUUUUGUGCGCUCAACCGCAAAGUAUGGGUGUCAACCUUAGUUGAGAUAGUUCAAAACAUCGAUCGAGUUUUGAACAAAAUUUAGAUCAGGCAAACACUAGUACUUUUGGUAUUUGAAGAUGUGUUUGUUAAAAAAUAUCAAUUACCUAAGCUUGUAGAAGCGUUUAAGGCUGUUUUGCCGGAUGAGGGUUCAACUCCCUCCGUCUCCACCA